UCCGAUUUGGCAUUUCAGAUUUGGCCUUGAC
Molecule: non-coding RNA, 31 nt
Filed under: Mus musculus (house mouse)
Lineage: Eukaryota; Metazoa; Chordata; Mammalia; Rodentia; Muridae
Source: RNAcentral